GCAUUAGUUCAAUCCUUCUGUUGUUCUGAAACUUCGUUUUCAAAGUACGAAAGCAACGAGACUCCUUUAACGGUUAGCUUCUGGGUUUAAUAGUCAGAAUCAGUAGAAGAUCGCGCGUGCCAGCAAUAAACUUCUAUUUCUUCUCUGCAUUGCCAAAUCCCACAUGAUUUGAUCCCCGUUAGGGACGAAGUGGUAUGACCUUGAUGGGUGAAAUAGAAGAACAUGAAGGGUGUUAACCAGGUCAUUUCACCAUCCAUCAGG
RNAcentral lists this long non-coding RNA (261 nucleotides) under Elaeis guineensis (African oil palm). RNAcentral's name for it is "long non-coding RNA (EGUI_LNC013772)". Lineage: Eukaryota; Viridiplantae; Streptophyta; Magnoliopsida; Arecales; Arecaceae. The record is from RNAcentral.